AUUGAACGCUGGCGGCAUGCUUUACACAUGCAAGUCGAACGGCAGCACGGGUGCUUGCACCUGGUGGCGAGUGGCGAACGGGUGAGUAAUGCAUCGGAACGUGCCCAUGAGUGGGGGAUAGCCCGGCGAAAGCCGGAUUAAUACCGCAUACGCCCUUAGGGGGAAAGCGGGGGAUCUUCGGACCUCGCGCUAUUGGAGCGGCCGAUGUCGGAUUAGCUAGUAGGUGAGGUAAAGGCUCACCUAGGCGACGAUCCGUAGCUGGUCUGAGAGGAUGAUCAGCCACACUGGGACUGAGGCACGGCCCAGACUCCUACGGGAGGCAGCAGUGGGGAAUUUUGGACAAUGGGCGCAAGCCUGAUCCAGCCAUGCCGCGUGAGUGAAGAAGGCCUC
RNAcentral lists this ribosomal RNA (390 nucleotides) under uncultured bacterium. RNAcentral's name for it is "bacterial SSU rRNA". It matches the Rfam family "Bacterial small subunit ribosomal RNA", at positions 28 to 418 of the family's 1533-position model. The record is from RNAcentral.